Molecule: non-coding RNA, 340 nt
Organism: Vicia faba (fava bean)
Lineage: Eukaryota; Viridiplantae; Streptophyta; Magnoliopsida; Fabales; Fabaceae
Source: the annotation of a GenBank genome assembly
AUGUUGAGGAGUAAAAGGGUUGUUUUGUUGGGAUUCUAUGAGUAGGACUCAAUGGGAGUCUUUGAUUUGUAUGUUGAUGGCUGGUGUGGAGGAUAAGAUGAAUGUUUAUAAAGUGAAUCUGAAUCAGAUUAGUAAGAGGAUUAAGUUUUUAGGUGUUAGGUUUAGUGAUUUCAAUUUUACGGUUGAGUAUUCUUCGAUCGGUUUACUUGGUGCAACAGGGUUAGGUUCUUCGACAUUCGCCGAAAAGGUUAAAUCGACACUUUUAUUGGAUAAGUUAGAUGAUAUAAGUAGUCAAUGGAUUAAUUCAGAUAUUCUUAUAUUCAAUACUGGUCACUGGUAG